RNAcentral lists this long non-coding RNA (1053 nucleotides) under Marmota monax (woodchuck). The record is from RNAcentral. Lineage: Eukaryota; Metazoa; Chordata; Mammalia; Rodentia; Sciuridae.
GGUGAGGGUGCCUGGAGGAGGGUGGCAGGGCCUGUCCCCGAUCCUGCGGGAUGAGGCUGGAUUUGGUCUGCAGCAGGUGCUGGCCACCCUCAGACCCCAUACGCCCAGCAGGGAACCAAGGCCAAGGCUGUGUUCAGGGCUGAGGGUGGAGAUGGGAGCCUCGAGCUCCAGCCCCGCACUGCCCGGCCGGCACCCGCUCACGCCCUCGCCCACCGGCACCUGCUCUGGGGCAAGGGCAGCAGUCCUGUGCCUGUGUGCAGCUGUCCUGCUGGGCAGUGCCAGGUACGUGGUGGCCACGGGGAGUCAGGCUCAUCCCUUCUGCGGCUGACUGAGGGCUUCCCCAAGCAGGCAGCAGGGCGGGACGAGACACCCUCUUCUGGUCCCCUGGGGAGCUGGGACGGCCUCUGGGGUUUCACCUUGAAAGAGAGUGCACCUGCUUGUGUGUGCUGUGCACACACGUAUCUGCGUGUCCGCGAGUCACACGCCUGUGCCUGUGCCUGUGCCUGUGCUCCCACACCCCAGGGAGGAGAGCCCCCGCCUUCUCAGGAGGAGCUCGUGGGUGGGCGGCAGGGACCCUGUCGCCAAGUCCACUGGGGGAAGCCAGAGGGGCUCCCUUGGGGGCCCAACCCCUUGCCUUCUCUCCACUCCCUCACUGGCCCUGUAGCCCCGCCCCCUCUGCGCGUGGUCUGCCUGGCACUCUCCAGCCAGCCGAGACCCACACCCCACGCCCCACCUGCCUGCUCCCCUGGGAGUCCCCAUUUCCGCCCAUGACCCCACGCUGCUUUCUCCCAGGGCCAGGGCUGGACGGGUUCUCAUUUCUCCCUCUGUCCUUGAGCUGGUGGCCUCUCCGCCCGCCAGACCGUCCACUGUCCUGACCCCGGCACACCUGGCUCCUGGGUGUCUGGAGCUGUGUGAGGGCCUCAUGCUCCUGGGCCACUCUCCUCCUCUCCCAGCCGCUGGGGACUUCGGUGCUGUUGCCUGAUCUUGGGGCCCGAGGCCUCUGGGUUGGAGGCUGGGGGAGAUCCAAGGUCAGGAGGCCAGAGCUCCUCCCAA